This is a long non-coding RNA of Alnus glutinosa, 340 nucleotides long. RefSeq lists it as uncharacterized. The transcript is spliced from 3 exons. The record is from RefSeq and is a predicted model, not a curated record. Lineage: Eukaryota; Viridiplantae; Streptophyta; Magnoliopsida; Fagales; Betulaceae.
AGGAUUUGUUGUGUGGAGCUUGCUAAACACUCUCCAAGUGUUGGAUUUACAUUUGGUAGAAUUUUUGUGAUACAUUGCAAGGUGGCGUCUAGGAGACCUAAGCUUGAUAUCCGCGCAACCAGUAUGCUGCCGUCUCAUAAAGGAAGCUGUUCGUGAGCGGCACUGUAAAGACAACUGCAUUGCAAUUGUCAUUGUUUUCAGGCACAAGUAAAUACGUAAUACCAAAGGCACCAACUUUUAGUAGAAAUUUAUUGCUGCUGCUUGUUGAUUUCAUUAAUGUUUUGUUUCUUCUUCGAUUGUAUAAUUUCCUCAGACAUUGCUCUUGAUUGUAUGUUUGUUG